RNAcentral lists this ribosomal RNA (1348 nucleotides) under uncultured bacterium. RNAcentral describes it as "16S ribosomal RNA". It matches the Rfam family "Bacterial small subunit ribosomal RNA", at positions 33 to 1381 of the family's 1533-position model. The record is from RNAcentral.
ACGCUAGCUACAGGCUUAACACAUGCAAGUCGAGGGGCAGCAGGAUCUAGCAAUAGAUUGCUGGCGACCGGCGCACGGGUGAGUAACACGUAUCCAACCUGCCGAUAACUCGGGGAUAGCCUUUCGAAAGAAAGAUUAAUACCCGAUGGUAUAAUCAGACCGCAUGGUUUGAUUAUUAAAGAAUUUCGGUUAUCGAUGGGGAUGCGUUCCAUUAGGCAGUUGGUGAGGUAACGGCUCACCAAACCUUCGAUGGAUAGGGGUUCUGAGAGGAAGGUCCCCCACAUUGGAACUGAGACACGGUCCAAACUCCUACGGGAGGCAGCAGUGAGGAAUAUUGGUCAAUGGACGCGAGUCUGAACCAGCCAAGUAGCGUGAAGGAUGACUGCCCUAUGGGUUGUAAACUUCUUUUAUAUGGGAAUAAAGUUUUCCACGUGUGGAAUUUUGUAUGUACCAUAUGAAUAAGGAUCGGCUAACUCCGUGCCAGCAGCCGCGGUAAUACGGAGGAUCCGAGCGUUAUCCGGAUUUAUUGGGUUUAAAGGGAGCGUAGGUGGACAGUUAAGUCAGUUGUGAAAGUUUGCGGCUCAACCGUAAAAUUGCAGUUGAUACUGGCUGUCUUGAGUACAGUAGAGGUGGGCGGAAUUCGUGGUGUAGCGGUGAAAUGCUUAGAUAUCACGAAGAACUCCGAUUGCGAAGGCAGCUCACUGGACUGCAACUGACACUGAUGCUCGAAAGUGUGGGUAUCAAACAGGAUUAGAUACCCUGGUAGUCCACACAGUAAACGAUGAAUACUCGCUGUUUGCGAUAUACAGUAAGCGGCCAAGCGAAAGCAUUAAGUAUUCCACCUGGGGAGUACGCCGGCAACGGUGAAACUCAAAGGAAUUGACGGGGGCCCGCACAAGCGGAGGAACAUGUGGUUUAAUUCGAUGAUACGCGAGGAACCUUACCCGGGCUUAAAUUGCAUUUGAAUAAUCUGGAAACAGGUUAGCCGCAAGGCAAAUGUGAAGGUGCUGCAUGGUUGUCGUCAGCUCGUGCCGUGAGGUGUCGGCUUAAGUGCCAUAACGAGCGCAACCCUUAUCUUUAGUUACUAACAGGUCAUGCUGAGGACUCUAGAGAGACUGCCGUCGUAAGAUGUGAGGAAGGUGGGGAUGACGUCAAAUCAGCACGGCCCUUACGUCCGGGGCUACACACGUGUUACAAUGGGGGGUACAGAAGGCAGCUACCUGGUGACAGGAUGCUAAUCCCAAAAGCCUCUCUCAGUUCGGAUCGAAGUCUGCAACCCGACUUCGUGAAGCUGGAUUCGCUAGUAAUCGCGCAUCAGCCAUGGCGCGGUGAAUACGUUCCCGGGCCU